This 246-nucleotide ribosomal RNA is filed under the name Triticum aestivum (bread wheat). Its description in RNAcentral is "partial small subunit ribosomal RNA". The record is from RNAcentral. Lineage: Eukaryota; Viridiplantae; Streptophyta; Magnoliopsida; Poales; Poaceae.
AUGGCGGGAUUUCGAGAAGCGGUUGAUCUAUGUGGCCUAGCUGAUAUUGGGUAUAAAGGACCCGACUGGACUUUUGAGAAGAGAAUUGCGAGCGGUGAUUUCUGUAGGGUGCGGCUGGACCGUGCCCUUGCGACCCCGUCGUGGUCGGCCAUGUUCCCCUUUGCUUCAUUGGAACAUUUAACAGUGGCGAAGUCAGACCAUUGCCCUAUACUACUGUCCAAUGAUAUUGAGCAUAAUGCAGUCUGA